RNAcentral lists this ribosomal RNA (575 nucleotides) under Lachnospira eligens. RNAcentral describes it as "[Eubacterium] eligens partial 23S ribosomal RNA". It matches the Rfam family "Bacterial large subunit ribosomal RNA", at positions 1 to 583 of the family's 2925-position model. The record is from RNAcentral. Lineage: Bacteria; Bacillati; Bacillota; Clostridia; Lachnospirales; Lachnospiraceae.
AGGUUAAGCUAUAAAGAGCAUAGGGUGGAUGCCUAGGCACUGAGAGCCGACGAAAGACGUGAUAAGCUGCGAUAAGCUGCGGUAAGGAGCAAAUAUCCAUUGACCCGCAGAUUUCUGAAUGGGGAAACCUACGCAAGAAGACCUUGCGUACUCAUACAUGAAUACAUAGUGUAUGAGAGGGAACCCGGGGAACUGAAACAUCUAAGUACCCGGAGGAAGAGAAAGAAACAUCGAUUUCCUGAGUAGCGGCGAGCGAAAGGGAAAGAGCCCAAACCAGAGGAUUUAUCCUCUGGGGUUAGGACUGCAUAAUUGAUCUGCAAUUGAUAGGAGAACGGUCUGGGAAGUCCGGCGAGAAAGCGUGAAAGCCGCGUAUCCGAAAUCGAAAGCAGCAAGGCAGGAUCCAGAGUACCACGAGACACGAGAAACCUUGUGGGAAUGAGCGGAGACCACUCCGUAAGGCUAAAUACUACUCAGUGACCGAUAGCGCAUAGUACUGUGAAGGAAAGGUGAAAAGGACCCCGGGAGGGGAGUGAAAGAGAACCUGAAACCCUGUGUUUACAAGCUGUCGAAGCACG